Molecule: long non-coding RNA, 675 nt
Organism: Zophobas morio
Lineage: Eukaryota; Metazoa; Arthropoda; Insecta; Coleoptera; Tenebrionidae
Exons: 3
Source: RefSeq, a predicted model, not a curated record
CUCCCCCUUCUGGGUGAGGAGCUCAUAAUCGGGGUGGCCUGGCCGGUGUGUCGCCAGACGGUGGUUUAUAGCUGUUUUCCGCCGCCCUAGGCCGAAUGACGGGAGUCCAGGCCGAUAGUUUUCGCUUUUUCAGUCCUUCGGUGCGGUCAUUAUAACUCUAUAAAGAGCGCGCACUGAUUUUAAAGUCAUUAGUGCUAUCGUUGCCGUUAAAAGAACUUAUGGCUAUUGAUUGCUCCGUAGUUUUAAUAGAAGUGUAAGGGCAAAUUUGCUUCCGUUUGGCGCCCGCACCCCUCGUCGACGCUUUUUUUUGAAGAGUCGUAAAUACAUAUUAACUUGCAAAAAAUUCUUCAAUAAUGACUUGGUGUUACGAUUUUGGAGAUCGUAAGGCUCUCAGACGACGAUGAUAAGCGCCCAAAGUUAACAGAGCUAAAUCUUAGACCAAGGGUGGAGCUAAUGCACAGGCGGAAGUAGAACUUAAGAAAAGACUUUAGAAAGAAACAGAACUUAGAAACUGGUUGUAGAAGCGAAAGUAACCUAAAAGAGAAAAUUACGAUAGGCACUUCAUAUAAAGAAAGUAACUAAGUCAGCUCCUUCCCCCUUAGGUUGGAAGCCAUAAAUAUCUGUUUAUGCGCUAAAAACGCCAAUUAUAAAAUUUUCAUGCAUUGACGCAUAUAA